CCUACGGGUGGCAGCAGUGGGGAAUAUUGCGCAAUGGGCGAAAGCCUGACGCAGCGACGCCGCGUGAGGGAUGAAGGUCUUCGGAUCGUAAACCUCUGUCAGCAGGGAAGAAAGGUCACUGUGCUAAUCAGCAGUGAAUUGACGGUACCUGCAAAGGAAGCACCGGCUAAAUCCGUGCCAGCAGCAGCGGUAAUAAGGAGGGUGGGAGCGUUAAUCGGAAUGACUGGGCGUAAAGCGCUCGUAGGCGGUAUGUCAAGUCAAGGGUGAAAUCCCCGCGCUCAACGUGGGAACUGCCUGUGAAACUGGCAAACUGGAGUGUGUGAGAGGAUAGUGGAAUUCCAGGUGUAGUAGUGAAAUCCGUAGAUAUCUGGAGGAACAUCAGUGGCGAAGGCGACUAUCUGGCACAUAACUGACGCUGAGGAGCGAAAGCGUGGGUAGCAAACAGGAUUAGAUACCCUAGUAGUC
RNAcentral lists this ribosomal RNA (465 nucleotides) under uncultured bacterium. RNAcentral describes it as "partial 16S ribosomal RNA". It matches the Rfam family "Bacterial small subunit ribosomal RNA", at positions 338 to 795 of the family's 1533-position model. The record is from RNAcentral.